Molecule: ribosomal RNA, 373 nt
Filed under: uncultured organism
Description: bacterial SSU rRNA
Rfam family: Bacterial small subunit ribosomal RNA
Source: RNAcentral
CAGAGGUGGCAAGCGUUGUUCGGAAUUACGUGGGCGUAAAGGGCGCGUAGGCGGCCUUCUAAGUCGGACGUGAAAUCCCCAGGCUUAACUUGGGAACUGCGUCUGAUACUGGAAGGCUUGAGUGCGGGAGAGGGAUGUGGAAUUCCAGGUGUAGCGGUGAAAUGCGUAGAUAUCUGGAGGAACACCGGUGGCGAAGGCGGCAUCCUGGACCGACACUGACGCUGAGGCGCGAAAGCCAGGGGAGCAAACGGGAUUAGAUACCCCGGUAGUCCUGGCCCUAAACGAUGAGUGCUUGGUGUGGCGGGUAUCGAUCCCUGCCGUGCCGAAGCUAACGCAUUAAGCACUCCGCCUGGGGAGUACGGUCGCAAGGCUG